RNAcentral lists this long non-coding RNA (330 nucleotides) under Coffea arabica (coffee). Its description in RNAcentral is "long non-coding RNA (CARA_LNC002841)". Lineage: Eukaryota; Viridiplantae; Streptophyta; Magnoliopsida; Gentianales; Rubiaceae. The record is from RNAcentral.
AUUGCCCACAUGGGGACACUGAGGUUUUUUUCCUCUUAGACUCUCCAAUUAUUCUAUUGUUUGGUCUAUGAUUUUUUACGUUAUUUUGUGUGAGUUCCAAUGGAUCCUUAUGAAGUAAGGAAGUUAGAAGAGUGUGACAAAGGGAUAUUGCUCCACAAUUAGUCAAGCCAUCAAUGACAUUUUUGGGAAAUGAAAGCUUGCUUUUGUGAUUUCGAUUGGCAUGCUAUGAGCUGUUAUAGUUUGCAUGAUGGUUUGAACCUUGUUGUUUGUUUUUUCUCCUCUUAGCUUCGCUGAUGUCUCUGUUUGGAUUCUUAGUAUAUUUCUUUUGUU